UCGCCUGCCCGGGCCCAUGGUGGGGCUGUGCAUUCACACAGCAGCUGCAGCAGACUGAGCAGAGAAUAUCCAUGGCCGCCUGAUGCGGAACUGCGCUACUAACCGUGGUGCAGAGACGCCAGAUUGCAUAGCGUAUUGCAAGUGAUGUCACGGCGUGCGCACUAAGAAAGCGAACGCAUGUGCGGGCGCUCAGGCAGGCCCGCACAUAUCUCAUCUUACCCCAGACUUAUACAGGCUGGCUGAGCGCUGUUUACAUUAACGCACAAGCUUUAUUCGCUGGAUGACACAAUUAUAUCCAGAGCAGACGAGCGUGUUGUAUCCAGGAGAAACGAAAGACAAACAGCGGAGACCGAUGAUAUACAUGUCUGGCUGAUGAGUGCCCAAAAGAUGGAUAUACUGUAGGAAAUAGUGAAAGCUGCACAAGGCCAUAUACAAGCUUAGAGAAAUAAAAUAUUAUCUGAAGGCGGGCAGCCCCUUUUUCUAUGAUACAUUUUACAGUACUAAAUAUAUUUUGUAUAUACAAGGCCUGGUUCUGAGUCAGACGGAACUUUCAGCAUGGAUGCGAAAGAUGAGUUACUGCACACCGCCCAGAAGCGAGUUUACGCACUUUGCAUAUGUCCAUCCUCUUCUGAGUUGGAAGGAACUGUCUGUCCUCUUCUGAGUUGGAAGGAACUGUCUGUCCUCUUCUGAGUUGGAAGGAACUGUCUGUCCUCUUCUGAGUUGGAAGGAACUGUCUGUCCUCUUCUGAGUUGGAAGGAACUGUCUGUCCUCUUCUGAGUUGGAAGGAACUGUCUGUCCUCUUCUGAGUUGGAAGGAACUGUCUGUCCUCUUCUGAGUUGGAAGGAAUUGUCUGUCCUCUUCUGAGUUGGAAGGAACUGUCUGUCCUCUUCUGAGUUGGAAGGAACUGUCUGUCCUCUUCUGAGUUGGAAGGAAUUGUCUGUCCUCUUCUGAGUUGGAAGGAACUGUCUGUCCUCUUCUGAGUUGGAAGGAAUUGUCUGUCCUCUUCUGAGUCGGAAUAUGUCUGUCUGUGAAAUAGGGCGUUUUUUUUUUGUGGUGGGAACUGUGCGUAAUGUAUAAUGCGCAUUUUAGUUCUAUAUAAAGGACCACCUACAUUUGCGGAUAUCCAGCGCUUGCAGCUCCUUACAACUGAAGAAGGGGCUCAUGGGAAGGAGGGAGCCUGGCCAAAGUAUAACAUGGGUGUGUUGGCACAAAUGCGGCCUACGAAGGCAGGGACACAGGUGCAUAUGUACCUGUCAGGAGAUGGGACCGUAGUGGCUGCUCAGCCUCUGGUGCAAGUGAUAAAAUUAUGAUUAUGAGUGCCUGUCGCAUCUGAUUGGCUGAUUGUAUCCUAAAUCCUCCCACUAUCACAUUGCUGCAGAUAAAACAUUAUCCCGGAAAGUACUUUAAGAAAUUGUUGAGAACUAAUUGCACCAUGUGAUGCAAGUACAUAUUUUUUUCUUUUGUAUUUUUUAUUUUGGCACUGCAUCUGUGCGGGAGGCUGGCAGUGCGAUCAGCUAUGUGUGUCCGAUGGACAGACAAGCUGAUCACCUUAAAAAAAAAUAAAAAAAAAGUAAAAAAAAAUAAUUGCUACUUACCCGUCCAGGAGCCGGUCAUCAGUGCUUCAGUAAGCGCUGCCGAGCACCAGGACCUCCUGCUGCUGUUACCGCUGUGCAGUAAAGUGAUGCUGCAACACAGCAGCUCACUUUACAGCACAGGGGGUCUCAGCUCAGCAGCAGGAUCCGGCACCGUGCAGCCUCCUGGAAACUGCAGUCACCUGCUCCUGGAUGGGUAAGUAUAAUUACUGAUGGGGGGGUCUUGGUGUGGGGGUAGUUGUGACGGGAGGAGUACCCAGCAACGGCGGUAGCAAUGGAUAGUGGCGCAUGCGCAACAGGAUAUCGGGUUAUGUUUUGCCCAAUAAUGCUGCGGAGGCAUUCGCAGGGAUAGAGCUUUCUCACAAGCUCUGUCCCUGCAUGCGAUAACUGAUACAUCUGUACUCAAUUAUUGCAUUGCGAGUUUGGACGAUUUUUUCACCUGUCAUCCGCAUCCUCAUAAAUGGGCCCUUAAGUAUUUUUAAAAUGUUUUGAGCAAUAAACAUCUUGCCUUUAA
Pseudophryne corroboree (corroboree frog) is the source of this 2106-nucleotide long non-coding RNA. RefSeq lists it as uncharacterized. The record is from RefSeq and is a predicted model, not a curated record. Lineage: Eukaryota; Metazoa; Chordata; Amphibia; Anura; Myobatrachidae. The transcript is spliced from 2 exons.